Molecule: ribosomal RNA, 492 nt
Filed under: uncultured bacterium
Lineage: Bacteria
Description: partial 16S ribosomal RNA
Rfam family: Bacterial small subunit ribosomal RNA (bases 64-492)
Source: RNAcentral
GGGGGGGGGGGGGGGGGGGGGGGGGGGGGGGGGGGCGGGGGGCGGGGGGGGGGGGGGGGGGGGUGGCGGGGGGCGGGGGGGGGGCGGGUGAGGGAGACAUCGGAAGCUACUUUUUCGUGGGGGAUAACGUAGGGAAACGUACGCUAAUACCGCAUACGACCUACGGGUGAAAGCAGGGGAUCUUCGGACCUUGCGCGAUUGAAUGAGCCGAUGUCGGAUUAGCUAGUUGGCGGGGGAAAGGCCCACCACGGCGACGAUCCGUAGCUGGUCUGAGAGGAUGAUCAGCCACACUGGAACUGAGACACGGUCCAGACUCCUACGGGAGGCAGCAGUGGGGAAUAUUGGACAAUGGGCGCAAGCCUGAUCCAGCCAUACCGCGUGGGUGAAGAAGGCCUUCGGGUUGUAAAGCCCUUUUGUUGGGAAAGAAAAGCAGCAGGUUAAUACCCCGCUGUUCUGACGGUACCCAAAGAAUAAGCACCGGCUAACUUCGUG